GACGUAGGGCGCGAGCGUUGUCCGGAUUUAUUGGGCGUAAAGAGCUCGUAGGCGGCUUGUCACGUCGACCGUGAAAACUUGGGGCUCAACCCCAAGCCUGCGGUCGAUACGGGCAGGCUCGAGUUCGGUAGGGGAGACUGGAAUUCCUGGUGUAGCGGUGAAAUGCGCAGAUAUCAGGAGGAACACCGAUGGCGAAGGCAGGUCUCUGGGCCGAUACUGACGCUGAGGAGCGAAAGCGUGGGGAGCGAACAGG
This 253-nucleotide ribosomal RNA is filed under the name uncultured bacterium. Its description in RNAcentral is "partial 16S ribosomal RNA". It matches the Rfam family "Bacterial small subunit ribosomal RNA", at positions 524 to 776 of the family's 1533-position model. The record is from RNAcentral.